CCUACGGGGGGCAGCAGUGAGGAAUAUUGGUCAAUGGACGAGAGUCUGAACCAGCCAAGUAGCGUGAAGGAUGACUGCCCUAUGGGUUGUAAACUUCUUUUAUCUGGGAAUAAAAUGUUCCACGUGUGGGAUUUUGUAUGUACCAUAUGAAUAAGGAUCGGCUAACUCCGUGCCAGCAGCCGCGGUAAUACGGAGGAUCCGAGCGUUAUCCGGAUUUAUUGGGUUUAAAGGGAGCGUAGGUGGAUUGUUAAGUCAGUUGUGAAAGUUUGGGGCUCAACCGUAAAAUUGCAGUUGAAACUGGCAGUCUUGAGUACAGUAGAGGUGGGCGGAAUUCGUGGUGUAGCGGUGAAAUGCUUAGAUAUCACGAAGAACUCCGAUUGCGAAGGCAGUUCACUGGACUGCAACUGACACUGAGGCUCGAAAGUGUGGGUAUCAAACAGGAUUAGAUACCCCGGUAGUC
RNAcentral lists this ribosomal RNA (460 nucleotides) under uncultured bacterium. Its description in RNAcentral is "partial 16S ribosomal RNA". It matches the Rfam family "Bacterial small subunit ribosomal RNA", at positions 338 to 795 of the family's 1533-position model. The record is from RNAcentral.